This 253-nucleotide ribosomal RNA is filed under the name uncultured bacterium. RNAcentral describes it as "partial 16S ribosomal RNA". It matches the Rfam family "Bacterial small subunit ribosomal RNA", at positions 524 to 776 of the family's 1533-position model. The record is from RNAcentral.
UACGUAGGGGGCAAGCGUUGUUCGGAAUUACUGGGCGUAAAGGGCGCGUAGGCGGCUCGGCAAGUCGGGAGUGAAAGCCCGGGGCUCAACCCCGGAACGGCUCUCGAAACUGCCGGGCUCGAGUGCGGAAGAGGCAACCGGAAUUCCCAGUGUAGCGGUGAAAUGCGUAGAUAUUGGGAAGAACACCUGAGGCGAAGGCGGUUCUCUGGGACGGUACUGACGCUGAGACGCGAAAGCGUGGGGAGCGAACAGG